GAUGAACGCUGGCGGCGUGCUUAACACAUGCAAGUCGAACGGGAAAUAUUUCAUUGAGACUUCGGUGGAUUUGAUUUAUUUCUAGUGGCGGACGGGUGAGUAACGCGUGGGUAACCUGCCUUAUACAGGGGGAUAACAGUCAGAAAUGGCUGCUAAUACCGCAUAAGCGCACAGAGCUGCAUGGCUCAGUGUGAAAAACUCCGGUGGUAUAAGAUGGACCCGCGUUGGAUUAGCUAGUUGGUGGGGUAACGGCCCACCAAGGCGACGAUCCAUAGCCGGCGAGAGAGGGUGAACGGACACAUUGGGACUGAGACACGGCCCAGACUCAGACGGGAGGCAGCAGGGGGGAAAAGUGAACAAUGGGGGAAACCAUGAGGAAGAGACGCAGCGUGAAGGAAGAAGUAUCUCGGUAUGUAAACUUCUAUCAGCAGGGAAGAUAGUGACGGUACAUGACUAAGAAGCCCCGGCUAACUAAGAG
This 478-nucleotide ribosomal RNA is filed under the name uncultured bacterium. RNAcentral's name for it is "partial 16S ribosomal RNA". It matches the Rfam family "Bacterial small subunit ribosomal RNA", at positions 28 to 507 of the family's 1533-position model. The record is from RNAcentral.